RNAcentral lists this ribosomal RNA (422 nucleotides) under uncultured bacterium. RNAcentral's name for it is "bacterial SSU rRNA". It matches the Rfam family "Bacterial small subunit ribosomal RNA", at positions 355 to 776 of the family's 1533-position model. The record is from RNAcentral.
UAGGGAAUAUUGGGCAAUGGGCGCAAGCCUGACCCAGCCAUGCCGCGUGUGCGAGGAAGGCCUUCGGGUCGUAAAGCACUUUUAUUCGGGAAGACACGCCCCGUGCGCGGGGCUAUGACGGUACCGAAGGAAUAAGCACCGGCUAACUCCGUGCCAGCAGCCGCGGUAAUACGGAGGGUGCGAGCGUUGUCCGGAUUCAUUGGGUUUAAAGGGUGCGUAGGCGGCCGAAUAAGUCAGGGGUGAAAUACCGCGGCUCAACCGCGGGGCUGCCCCUGAUACUGCUCGGCUUGGGGCCACGGAGGGCAGGCGGAAUUUGCGGUGUAGCGGUGAAAUGCAUAGAUACCGCAAGGAAUGCCGGAGGCGAAGGCGGCCUGCUGCCGUGGAUCCGACGCUGAUGCACGAAAGUGCGGGGAUCGAACAGG